GACAGAGGGUGCAAACGUUGUUCGGAAUUACUGGGCGUAAAGCGUGUGUAGGCGGUCUCGUAAGUCGGAUGUGAAAGCCCUGGGCUCAACCCAGGAAGUGCACUCGAAACUGCGAGGCUAGAGUAUCGGAGAGGUUGGUGGAAUUCUCGGUGUAGAGGUGAAAUUCGUAGAUAUCGAGAGGAACACCGGUGGUGAAGGCGGCCAACUGGACGAAUACUGACGCUGAGACACGAAAGCGUGGGGAGCAAACAGG
Molecule: ribosomal RNA, 253 nt
Filed under: uncultured bacterium
Lineage: Bacteria
Description: partial 16S ribosomal RNA
Rfam family: Bacterial small subunit ribosomal RNA
Source: RNAcentral